RNAcentral lists this ribosomal RNA (250 nucleotides) under uncultured bacterium. RNAcentral's name for it is "partial 16S ribosomal RNA". It matches the Rfam family "Bacterial small subunit ribosomal RNA", at positions 524 to 774 of the family's 1533-position model. The record is from RNAcentral.
UACGGGGGGUGCGAGCGUUGUCCGGAUUCACUGGGCGUAAAGGGCGCGUAGGCGGCUGACUCAGUCUGGUCUAUAAGGUGUGGGCUUACCCCGCACACGGAUUGGGGACGGGUUGGCUGGGGGUCGGUCGAGGGAAGCGGAAUGCCGGGUGUAGUGGUGAAAUGCGUAGAGAUCCGGCGGAACACCGGUGGUGAAGGCGGCUUCCUUGGCCGAACCCGACGCUGAGGCGCGAGAGCGCGGGGAGCGAACC